UACCAGCACCCCGAGUGGUCGGGACGUUUAUUGGGCCUAAAGCGUCCGUAGCCGGUUCUACAAAUCUUCCGUUAAAUCCACCUGCUUAACAGAUGGGCUGCGGAAGAUACUAUAGAGCUAGGAGGCGGGAGAGGCAAGCGGUACUCGAUGGGUAGGGGUAAAAUCCGUUGAUCCAUUGAAGACCACCAGUGGCGAAGGCGGCUUGCCAGAACGCGCUCGACGGUGAGGGAUGAAAGCUGGGGGAGCAAACCGG
This 253-nucleotide ribosomal RNA is filed under the name uncultured bacterium. RNAcentral's name for it is "partial 16S ribosomal RNA". It matches the Rfam family "Archaeal small subunit ribosomal RNA", at positions 474 to 727 of the family's 1478-position model. The record is from RNAcentral.